This 216-nucleotide ribosomal RNA is filed under the name Triticum aestivum (bread wheat). Its description in RNAcentral is "partial small subunit ribosomal RNA". Lineage: Eukaryota; Viridiplantae; Streptophyta; Magnoliopsida; Poales; Poaceae. The record is from RNAcentral.
AUGGGAAGCCAGGCCUUAGGAGCAAGGGCCGAUGGGUGGCACGAGGACCUCGACAGUGUAGCGGCGCCUACUGGUUCUAUAGGUUACUCUCUCUCCCUUGCUCUCUCUCUGCCUCGAUCCCAAUCUUACCUCUACUCGUUGUACCAUGCACAUCAUGAAGACCGACUGAUUAUGGAGGUGACUGUCCCAUCCACGACAAGCAUAGAGGACCCAUGA